GUCCUUUAGAAAUUAAUUAUAGGUCUGACCUGCCCGGUGAUUUAUUAAACGGCCGCAGUACUUUGACUGUGCGAAGGUAGCAUAAUCAUUUGUCUCUUAAUUGGAGGCUUGUAUGAAUGGUUGGACGAGGAAUUGACUUUCUUUACUUAAUUUUUAUGAAUUUGAUUUUUGAGUUAAAAAGCUUAGAUUGUUUUGCAAGACGAGAAGACCCUAUAGAAUUUUAUUAAAUAGGUUUUAUUUUUUGUUUAGUUUAUAAUUGGUUAAUAAAAUUUAUUUAAUUUUGUUGGGGCGACAGUGAAAAUUAAAUAACUUUCAUUUUUUAUUUUUCAUUAAUUUAUGUAUUUUUUGACCCUUUAUUAUGGGUUAUGAGUUUAAAUUACCUUAGGGAUAACAGCGUAAUUUUUUCGGAGAGUUCUUAUUGAUGAAAUAAGGUUGCGACCUCGAUGUUGGAUUAAGAAAAGUUUUGGGUGUAGGGGCUCAUAUUACUAAGUCUGUUCGACUUUUAAUU
RNAcentral lists this ribosomal RNA (508 nucleotides) under Aulacosternum nigrorubrum (cotton plant bug). RNAcentral's name for it is "partial 16S ribosomal RNA". It matches the Rfam family "Bacterial large subunit ribosomal RNA", at positions 1825 to 2593 of the family's 2925-position model. The record is from RNAcentral. Lineage: Eukaryota; Metazoa; Arthropoda; Insecta; Hemiptera; Coreidae.